This 468-nucleotide ribosomal RNA is filed under the name uncultured bacterium. RNAcentral describes it as "partial 16S ribosomal RNA". It matches the Rfam family "Bacterial small subunit ribosomal RNA", at positions 28 to 507 of the family's 1533-position model. The record is from RNAcentral.
GACGAACGCUGGCGGCGUGCUUAACACAUGCAAGUCGAACGGAAAGGCCCUGCUUUUGUGGGGUGCUCGAGUGGCGAACGGGUGAGUAACACGUGAGUAACCUGCCCUUGACUUUGGGAUAACUUCAGGAAACUGGGGCUAAUACCGGAUAGGAGCUCCUGCUGCAUGGUGGGGGUUUGAAAGUUUCGGCGGUUGGGGAUGGACUCGCGGCUUAUCAGCUUGUUGGUGGGGUAGUGGCUUACCAAGGCUUUGACGGGUAGCCGGCCUGAGAGGGUGACCGGCCACAUUGGGCCUGAGAUACGGCCCAGACUCCUACGGGAGGCAGCAGUGGGGAAUAUUGCACAAUGGGCGGAAGCCUGAUGCAGCAACGCCGCGUGCGGGAUGACGGCCUUCGGGUUGUAAACCGCUUUCGCCUGUGACGAAGCGUGAGUGACGGUAAUGGGUAAAGAAGCACCGGCUAACUACGUG